CUACGGGAGGCAGCAGCAAGGAAUUUUCGGCAAUGGGCGCAAGCCUGACCGAGCAACGCCGCGUGGAGGACGGCGGCCUUCGGGUUGUAAACUCCUUUUGCGGGGGAUGAUUGUGACCGUACCCCGCGAAUAAGGCUCGGCUAACUCUGUGCCAGCAGCCGCGGUAAGACAGAGGAGCCAAGCGUUGUCCGGAUUGACUGGGCGUAAAGCGCACGCAGGCGGUCGUGCACGUGGGGUGUGAAACCUGGCCGCUUAACGGCCAGACGCCACCGCAUACGGCGCGACUUGAGAGUGGCAGAGGUUCGUGGAAUUGCCGGUGUAGUGGUGAAAUGCGUAGAGAUCGGCAGGAACACCAAGGGCGAAAGCAGCGAACUGGGCCAUAUCUGACGCUCAGGUGCGAAAGCGUGGGGAGCGAACCGGAUUAGAUACCCGAGUAGUCC
RNAcentral lists this ribosomal RNA (440 nucleotides) under uncultured bacterium. RNAcentral's name for it is "bacterial SSU rRNA". It matches the Rfam family "Bacterial small subunit ribosomal RNA", at positions 339 to 796 of the family's 1533-position model. The record is from RNAcentral.